AGAGUUUGAUCCUGGCUCAGGAUGAACGCUAGCGGCAGGCUUAAUACAUGCAAGUCGUGGGGCAGCAGGUCCCGCAGCAAUGCGGGAUGCUGGCGACCGGCAAACGGGUGCGGAACACGUACACAACCUUCCUUUAAGUGGGGGAUAGCCCGGGGAAACCCGGAUUAAUACCCCGUAAUAUAAUGAGGUGGCAUCACUUUAUUAUUAUAGCUCCGGCGCUUAGAGAUGGGUGUGCGGCUGAUUAGGCAGUUGGCGGGGUAACGGCCCACCAAACCUACGAUCAGUAACUGGUGUGAGAGCACGACCAGUCACACGGGCACUGAGACACGGGCCCGACUCCUACGGGAGGCAGCAGUAAGGAAUAUUGGUCAAUGGACGCAAGUCUGAACCAGCCAUGCCGCGUGGAGGAUGAAGGUCCUCUGGAUUGUAAACUUCUUUUAUCUGGGAAGAAAUCCACGAAUUCUUUUGUGGUUGACGGUACCAGAUGAAUAAGCACCGGCUAACUCCGUGCCAGCAGCCGCGGUAAUACGGAGGGUGCAAGCGUUAUCCGGAUUCACUGGGUUUAAAGGGUGCGUAGGUGGGUUGGUAAGUCAGUGGUGAAAUCUCCAGGCUUAACUUGGAAACUGCCAUUGAUACUAUCAAUCUUGAAUGCCGUGGAGGUCAGCGGAAUAUGUCAUGUAGCGGUGAAAUGCUUAGAUAUGACAUAGAACACCAAUUGCGAAGGCAGCUGGCUACACGAAAAUUGACACUGAUGCACGAAAGCGUGGGGAUCAAACAGGAUUAGAUACCCUGGUAGUCC
This 799-nucleotide ribosomal RNA is filed under the name uncultured bacterium. RNAcentral describes it as "bacterial SSU rRNA". It matches the Rfam family "Bacterial small subunit ribosomal RNA", at positions 8 to 796 of the family's 1533-position model. The record is from RNAcentral.